RNAcentral lists this unclassified non-coding RNA (240 nucleotides) under soil metagenome. RNAcentral describes it as "partial contains 5.8S ribosomal RNA, internal transcribed spacer 2, and large subunit ribosomal RNA". The record is from RNAcentral.
AACGCACGAGACCUGCGGACCUGCGGAGGGAUCAUUACUGAGUGAGGGCCCUCUGGGUCCAACCUCCCACCCGUGUUUAACGAACCUUGUUGCUUCGGCGGGCCCGCCUCACGGCCGCCGGGGGGCAUCCGCCCCCGGGCCCGCGCCCGCCGAAGCCACCUGUGAACGCUGUCUGAAGUUGCAGUCUGAGAAAAUUAUUAAAUUAAUUAAAACUUUUAACAAUGGAUCUCUAGAUCGGAA